AGUGAACGCUGGCGGUAGGCCUAACACAUGCAAGUCGAACGGCAGCACAGUAAGAGCUUGCUCUUACGGGUGGCGAGUGGCGGACGGGUGAGGAAUACAUCGGAAUCUACUUUUUCGUGGGGGAUAACGUAGGGAAACUUACGCUAAUACCGCAUACGACCUACGGGUGAAAGCAGGAGAUCUUCGCACCUUGCGCGAUUGAAUGAGCCGAUGUCGGAUUAGCUAGUUGGCGGGGUAAAGGCCCACCAAGGCGACGAUCCGUAGCUGGUCUGAGAGGAUGAUCAGCCACACUGGAACUGAGACACGGUCCAGACUCCUACGGGAGGCAGCAGUGGGGAAUAUUGGACAAUGGGCGCAAGCCUGAUCCAGCCAUACCGCGUGGGUGAAGAAGGCCUUCGGGUUGUAAAGCCCUUUUGUUGGGAAAGAAAAGCAGCAGAUUAAUACCCCGCUGUUCUGACGGUACCCAAAGAAUAAGCACCGGCUAACUUCGUG
Molecule: ribosomal RNA, 492 nt
Filed under: uncultured bacterium
Lineage: Bacteria
Description: partial 16S ribosomal RNA
Rfam family: Bacterial small subunit ribosomal RNA
Source: RNAcentral